UACGUAGGGUGCGAGCGUUAUCCGGAUUCACUGGGUUUAAAGGGUGCGUAGGUGGGUUGGUAAGUCAGUGGUGAAAUCCCCGAGCUUAACUUGGGAACUGCCAUUGAUACUAUCAGUCUUGAAUACCGUGGAGGUCAGCGGAAUAUGUCAUGUAGCGGUGAAAUGCUUAGAUAUGACAUAGAACACCAAUUGCGAAGGCAGCUCACUACACGAAUAUUGACACUGAGGCACGAAAGCGUGGGGAUCAAACAGG
This 253-nucleotide ribosomal RNA is filed under the name uncultured bacterium. RNAcentral's name for it is "partial 16S ribosomal RNA". It matches the Rfam family "Bacterial small subunit ribosomal RNA", at positions 524 to 776 of the family's 1533-position model. The record is from RNAcentral.